AGGGAGGAAAGGGGAAUGGGGGAAAAACAAGAACCAAGAUAUAUCAUGUACAGAUACAAAUUCCCAAUGAUGAAUGUGAUCAUAAUGUUCACCUAAAAUGAACCAAUAAAUUUAAUGAAUAAAAAGAAAAAAGGAAAAUUCAUCAGCCAAGGGAAAAAAAUCAAAGUCUUGAUUUAUGACCUGAAUGCCAGCUGCUUGUACUUCCAGAUGGUUUCAGAUGGAGAUUUAACCCUUAAAGAGUUCUGGAAGGAACAUUUCAACAUCCUUUCCUGUUUGCGGUUAAUUGAGAAAUCCUGGCCCAAUGUCUCUCUAAGGACACUGAGGUCUGCCUUUGUACAGGAGAAGGACUUUGAAGGCUGUGUAGAGUGGAGCCUGAGCACUCAAUUGACCAACUUGCAUUACAACCAGCCCUCAGGAAAAAAUUGAGUUUGUAAGUCAAGUGUCCACUGUUUCUAAUUUGCUCUAGAUUCUCCUGGCCAUUCAAGAGAUAAAUGCUUCCCUAAUCCUCCCUCGUUCCCACCUGGAUUUUGCAUCUGCCUGGGGACCCUGAGCUCCUUAAUGCAGAAGGCUUGAUCUCUGAUACACUUGAGGAACACAUCUCUGGGGUUUUUACAUUAUUCAAACCAGUGCCAAUACAGAGCAGAGAGCAUUUCUGUUCUCCCACGGGUGGAAACACAAUUUACAUUCACUUUCCAGGCCUACUUCAAAAUGAUGCACUUCCUAAUCUUUUGAGAGGUAGGAGGAUUUGUAUAUUUCUCAAUGAUUUACAUGAAAUGAUAUUUUUGUUUUUCAAAUUAACAUGUACAUGUAACAGCAGUGAGAGUCAGGAUGUGGAAAUUAUUUUGGGUCUCACUCUAGCAUGCCAUAGGCAUCCACCCCCAUGCUGGGACGUGUCACUUGGGAGCCCUGGGGAAUCACCUGGGGAGUCCCCAGGCCACAGCCAGUCCUGGGAGAUCAGCUCAGAUGAACCUCCAGGUCGGGUGUGGAGCCCACACAGUUGGCCAGAUGGGCAGCUGGGUGACAACUAGGUUUCAUUUAAUUUACAGUCUUCCAGACUCAAGAGAAUUUUACUCAUCAAGUUACAAAGUUUGACAAUUAAUUAGUAAAGUAGGCAAAAGGGAAACCUGCACUUAAAACCAGAGCUGGGAAAAGAGAUAGUUACCUUGGGUGGAUUCCAAAAUCUGGAGGUGGGAGACACGUGGUUUUCACAAUUCCAUGGUCCUGAAGCUCAACAGGGUCCCAAGAAAAGGGUGGAGUGAAUGUGUGCACACGUGUGUAUGCUUGUGUGUAUGAGUAUGUGUGCAUGUGUGUAUAAACAUACAUGCAUGGGUGCUUGCCAAUGUGUGUGUAUAUUCACCUGUAUGUGCAUGCCUAUGUGUAUGUGCAUGCUUGUGAGUGUGUGUAUGCAUGUUACAUGCAGGCAGAAGAGUGUGUGGUGUGUGCAUGUGCUUCCAGGUGUGCAUGUUGUGUGGAUAUGAGUGUGCAAAUGUGUGUACAGGCUAUGAGCACAUAAGCAUGUGUGUGCAUGUAGCAGGGAUCUCAAAACUGGGCAAAGCCUCUGCCUCUGUCCAUGGCUGGCACAGGCUGAGCUUUUGCAGUGCUCUGCUGACUCUGGGGUCCUUGGUUUGCAGUUGUUUCUGAUACUCACAGUGAGUUUUGAAAGGCUUAUGGCAAAUAUCAGUUUGAUUUCUAGAAUUUUUAACUCAUUUUCUAUUAACUGUGUCAGAAGACAGUUUACAAUGAAGACUUUUAUUUUCUUUCCUUCAGGCCACUGAUUUGAUCUGAACCACAAAAAGGCAAAGUUUAUUUUGUGCGUGUACCCUAGAAUUCAUCACCACUGCUGCUGGUACUAAGUUAUGCUCACUCCAAGAGCCUCUCUGGGUGGGCCCAUGUAGGUGCAGGUCACAUCCACUUAUGGCUCAUGUUCAUGUUCUUGUCACUUUUAACUAAAUCUUAAGUGUGAACCUGCCACAUUCACCAAUGUCCCUCUUGUCACAUGCUCUGUAACAUAAAGACUAAAUUACAGGCCCUUAAAAAAAGGAGAGCCUGUGGCCUACCACCCUGCACAAUAGUGUAGCUCAGGAAUGGAGAACUUGCCUAACUUCCACAGGGUCCUGGGUUUGAUCUCCAGCACAGAAAGUGGGGGAAAAAAGUAAAGAACAGGCUUUGGGCAACUAAAUGCUUUCCCUCUUCAUAUCCUUUUUCCUCUACUACUCCUAUCAUUCAUUUAUUUCCUUAAUUAAUUUUCUGCUGUUUGCAGUGUCCAGCUCAGAACUGGUACCAGGGACAUAGUGAUUGUGUUAGUCAGCUUUUUUUUUUUUUUACUGUAACAAAUUACCUGAGGUAAUCAACUUAAAGAGAGAGAAGGUUUAUUUGCACUUAGGGUUUCAGAGAUGAUGAAUCAGCCCAGUUGCUUUUGGCCUGUGAUGAGGCAGCACAACAUGGCAAGAGGACUUCAUAGAGCUCAGCUUCUUACCUCAUGGCCAGGAAGUGAAGGAAAGGAAAAGGAAGGUUACUGGAGCCCCACAGCCAUUUUGAGUGCACAGCCCCAGCGACCUGCAGACUUCCCACUGGGCCCCACCUCUCCAAGGUUCCUCAUUUCCCAGUAUUGCCAGGCUAGAGACAAAACCUUUGAGGGGCACCAGAUCCAAACUACAGCAGAGAUGGACAGAACCCGAAAUUCUGUCCUCAAAAGGCUCAUCAUCUACUGGGGUUGAGGGAGGUUCAGAGCACCCAGGCACAACAAGUGUAAAACCUGCUCUCAGAGAGCAGAAUGACCCCACCCCCCAGCGGGAGGGAGAAGGCUCCCAAGGCCCGACCUUCAACUGCAGAAAGCAAAUAGGCAGAGCCCAGCUGGCGAGGAGCCUGGCUGUGGCACCAGGCAUGGAGACUAUGAGCUGAACGGACAUUGCUCACAGUUGAAAUGGCUCAAGAUGGUGUGGUAUGUGUUUGAGUGUGUGCUGCAGGGUUAGAUACUCGGGAUUUCUAACUCUUCAGACAGCACCCAGCCCUUGCAGGCCUCAUGCAGGGGUGGGGAUGUGUGUGUGAGGUCACGUGUGGGCAGGAGGGCAGCCAGAGGAUAUGGAGGAGGAUGGCAGGCCUGGCUGUGAGUAUCAGCUGGGCUGAGGCUGCAGGAAUGAGGAGAGAGACAGGAAACUGGACUGGGAAGUUGGGAACAGCUCAAGUUCAUGAUGGAUCACUGUGAGACUCUGUGCAGCCUGCCCUGAGCAGUGGCACCUAGAAGAAGAGGCAGAAGCACCCCAAGAGGAUGUAUUUCUUUGAGCUGUAAAGCGGAAAGCUUUCUUUCUUCUACCGUGAUGUUUCUGCCUUGGAGCCAGCCUACUGAAACCUCUGAAGCCAUGAGCCCAAAUAAACCUGCCCUCCUUUAAGUUGCAAGUGUCAGAUAUUUUGUUCAUAGCAACAAAAACCUGGCAAAUUCACCCUGAAAACAUCAAGAGAGAGAUGCUCUGGGGAAAAGAUGCUGCUGAUACUCUUGGCCCUUAGUGGCCUCAAUCCUGCAGCCUGGUCCCCACCACAACUUCACCAAAGCAAAUGGGUAUCCCAGGAGCUGACCCCAGGAGCUUGGGGGCUGAGGAACUCUAAGAGAUGCUUUGACCUCCCAGGAGUCAGAACAGGCUGAAAGAGGCAUCUACCUAUCUUAUCUAUUGACAUCAAGUGUUCUUGAAGGCACAUUUGUUGGUGGCACAAGAAAUUCAGCAGAAAUGAGCCUUGGUAAAGAAUAAUGUCCCUAAGAACUUGCUCCUCCAAUAACCAUGGCAGAAAGCACCUGGGAAGUUUCUUACAAUGCAGUCCUCAGCUCCUGCCUGCCUAGAAGUCCUGCUCCAGUGCUGCCUAGAGUCCAUGUUUUAACAGAAACAGUGUUAGUUUCCUGGGCACUUUGGGUGGGAAUGAGCUCUGAGCUGGAGAAUGUUCAGGCUCUCUGCAUACAGAUCUACCUAGGGAAUUUUUCAUAGCCCUGGGUCCAGACCACACCCCAGAUGCACGGAUCCAGAAUGCCUGGAGGAGCAGGGAGGCUGGCUGCAGUAUAGUUCCCCAGGAUACCAGGGCCUAGGAACUCUUCUAGGCUUACCUGCCAGGUUUGGCUCCCCCGACCCUACAUCUCCAUCUCCCUGCAUACCUGCUAAUCAUGAUCUUUACCUGGUUUCCGUCUCUGCUGUGCAUCGAGAAGCUUUCACCUGCCUUCUACACUCUGUGUCCUCACCCUCUGCUCUGCAGCUUCCCCUUGCUCUCCUGCUCGUCCUCUGUGGCUUUCAGCAGGGCUGUAUCUCAGUAUCCUGGCCAGUGGCUGGGCUAUCAUCUCCUCCUGUCUGGAUCCUACCCUCCUCAGUGUGCUGUGGACUGCCUUUCAACACAUGCUGGCAGCAGGCAUCUCCAGAGUUGACACUUUACCAUCCCUGUCACUUCUUCCAUCCUUCCUCUGACUUCCUGGGGUCAGGCUUUGGGCCCUGUUAUACUACCAAACUCUUCUGACCCAUCAGUGGGUUGACCGCCGGUGGAAACACUCCUUGUUUUGGGCACUGCACCUCUCUGGUCCCCCUGCCUGGCUGCUGCACCUCCCAGACCCUCUGUUUAAAUUUCAAGGUACUUCAAUAUGACAGCCAAAGACAAUACUCAGGAGCAACAAGCAACAGGAGAGGGAAUUACAUCAAGAAGCCAGGAAGGUUCUGAUGCCGAGCACUUCCCAAGGAUGAGCCUCAAAGCAACGAUGUUUGCAAUGCCUGGCAGGUUCAUUAAAUAAAAGAUUGAUAUUCACCUUAAUCUUUGAAUUUGCUUAUGGGGUUCUCUGCUUGCUUCAGUGCACACAUUCUAAGAAACUCUGACAUAUUUUUCAUUAGAAGAAUUUCUAGUAGCCUUCUCUUCUGAAUCCAACUGUAGAAGGUUGACUACAAAGGGGAUUCAUCAAGGGAAGAACUUGACAAUGAGGAAGCCUCCUCAAG
Molecule: long non-coding RNA, 4958 nt
Filed under: Heterocephalus glaber (naked mole-rat)
Lineage: Eukaryota; Metazoa; Chordata; Mammalia; Rodentia; Bathyergidae
Description: lncRNA (ENSHGLG00100037457.1)
Source: RNAcentral